UACGAAGGGGGCUAGCGUUGCUCGGAAUCACUGGGCGUAAAGCGCACGUAGGCGGAUCUUUAAGUCAGGGGUGAAAUCCCGGAGCUCAACUCCGGAACUGCCUUUGAUACUGAGGAUCUUGAGUUCGAGAGAGGUGAGUGGAACUGCGAGUGUAGAGGUGAAAUUCGUAGAUAUUCGCAAGAACACCAGUGGCGAAGGCGGCUCACUGGCUCGAUACUGACGCUGAGGUGCGAAAGCGUGGGGAGCAAACAGG
This 253-nucleotide ribosomal RNA is filed under the name uncultured bacterium. RNAcentral's name for it is "partial 16S ribosomal RNA". It matches the Rfam family "Bacterial small subunit ribosomal RNA", at positions 524 to 776 of the family's 1533-position model. The record is from RNAcentral.